UACGGAGGGUGCAAGCGUUAUCCGGAUUCACUGGGCUUAAAGGGUGCGUAGGCGGGUAUGCAAGUCAGCGGUGAAAUCCCCGAGCUUAACUUGGGAACUGCCGUUGAUACUAUAUAUCUUGAAUGUCGUGGAGGUUAGCGGAAUAUGUCAUGUAGCGGUGAAAUGCUUAGAUAUGACAUAGAACACCCAUUGCGAAGGCAGCUAACUACGCGAAUAUUGACGCUGAGGCACGAAAGCGUGGGGAUCAAACAGG
RNAcentral lists this ribosomal RNA (253 nucleotides) under uncultured bacterium. RNAcentral describes it as "partial 16S ribosomal RNA". It matches the Rfam family "Bacterial small subunit ribosomal RNA", at positions 524 to 776 of the family's 1533-position model. The record is from RNAcentral.